RNAcentral lists this ribosomal RNA (273 nucleotides) under uncultured bacterium. RNAcentral describes it as "partial 16S ribosomal RNA". It matches the Rfam family "Bacterial small subunit ribosomal RNA", at positions 79 to 354 of the family's 1533-position model. The record is from RNAcentral.
CAAUCUAUGUCGGCGACCGGCGCACGGGUGCGUAACGCGUAUGCAACCUACCCAUUACAGGGGGAUAACACUGAGAAAUCGGUACUAAUACCCCAUAACAUCCAGGGAGGCAUCUUCUUGGGUUGAAAACUCCGGUGGUAAUGGAUGGGCAUGCGUUGUAUUAGUUAGUUGUGGGGUAACGGCUCACCAAGACAACGAUACAUAGGGGGACUGAGAGGUUAACCCCCCACAUUGGUACUGAGACACGGACCAAACUCCUACGGGAGGCAGCAG